Molecule: long non-coding RNA, 698 nt
Filed under: Olea europaea subsp. europaea
Lineage: Eukaryota; Viridiplantae; Streptophyta; Magnoliopsida; Lamiales; Oleaceae
Source: RNAcentral
AAAGCUCUCUUCAUGGUGCACCAACCCCAUUCGUAAUUCCAUCAAUUACUCGUCGAUCAAGAAAAUGAGUUAAUUGGGCUAAUCCUCUUACUGCCCCAGUUAAGAAUGUUGUAUAAAAAAACAUCUAUAUAAGCACAAUUAUAUGACCAAUUAAAUAGACCAUUUAGAAUUUUGUCCCAAAGACUUCUCUUAGGACCUGUUUUAACAAAUAAAUUGGUUAAGUCGAAAUUUUUGAAAGAGGAAUAAAUGGGUUUAUAUAAAAAGGACGCUAUAAAUAUUCUGAAAUAAGCUAUACUGACUGAAAAAAUUGCAUCUUUCCAAAAUUCAUACCAAUCGAUCGAAUCAUUCAACUUUUGAUGUAAAAGGUUUAUAGACAGAGUUAACCAUUUGGUUAAUAUAUCCAAUUCUUGAUUGAAACGAACUCCUAUAGAUCCAACAAACAAAGUAAAGAUGCCCAAUACAAAUAAAGGAAAUAACAUAGUAUUGUCGGAUUCAUAAGGAUAGGAAUAAUCAUUUUUAUUCUCAAAAUGAACAACAGUAAUAAAAGGCCCUACCCUGUUUCUUACAUUUUUAUCACUUCGAUAUGUCUUUUUUGAAAAAAAAAAAAAAAAGAACUUUUACUAUUAUUCAUUUUUAAUAAACGAAAAUUUUUGUUAAUUCUUUUAGAACCCCCUUUUCCCUAUUUUGGAAGAAUAAUC